AUACGGAGGGUGCAAGCGUUAUCAGGAUUCAUUGGGUUUAAAGGGUACGUAGGCGGAUAGAUAAGUUAGUGGCGAAAUCCCGAAGCUCAACUUCGGAACUGCCAUUAAAACUGUCUAUCUUGAAUUUGGUUGAAGUGGGCGGAAUAUGACAUGUAGCGGUGAAAUGCAUAGAUAUGUCAUGGAACACCGAUAGUGAAGACAGCUCACUAAGCCAAUAUUGACGCUGAGGUACGAAAGCAUGGGUAGCGAACAGGAUUAGAUACCCCGGUAGUCC
RNAcentral lists this ribosomal RNA (274 nucleotides) under uncultured bacterium. Its description in RNAcentral is "partial 16S ribosomal RNA". It matches the Rfam family "Bacterial small subunit ribosomal RNA", at positions 523 to 796 of the family's 1533-position model. The record is from RNAcentral.